RNAcentral lists this transfer RNA (70 nucleotides) under Bacillus sp. BD59S. RNAcentral describes it as "tRNA-Thr". It matches the Rfam family "tRNA". From Rfam's summary of the family: Transfer RNA (tRNA) molecules are approximately 80 nucleotides in length. Their secondary structure includes four short double-helical elements and three loops (D, anti-codon, and T loops). Further hydrogen bonds mediate the characteristic L-shaped molecular structure. tRNAs have two regions of fundamental functional importance: the anti-codon, which is responsible for specific mRNA codon recognition, and the 3' end, to which the tRNAs corresponding amino acid is attached (by aminoacyl-tRNA synthetases). tRNAs cope with the degeneracy of the genetic code in two manners: having more than one tRNA (with a specific anti-codon) for a particular amino acid; and 'wobble' base-pairing, i.e. permitting non-standard base-pairing at the 3rd anti-codon position. The record is from RNAcentral. Lineage: Bacteria; Bacillati; Bacillota; Bacilli; Caryophanales; Bacillaceae.
GCCGACUUAGCUCAAUUGGUAGAGCAACUGACUUGUAAUCAGUAGGUCGAUGGAAAAUAAAAAGACAGCA